RNAcentral lists this ribosomal RNA (503 nucleotides) under uncultured Glomus. RNAcentral describes it as "SSU rRNA". It matches the Rfam family "Eukaryotic small subunit ribosomal RNA", at positions 569 to 1074 of the family's 1831-position model. The record is from RNAcentral. Lineage: Eukaryota; Fungi; Glomeromycota; Glomeromycetes; Glomerales; Glomeraceae.
AGCAGCCGCGGUAAUUCCAGCUCCAAUAGCGUAUAUUAAAGUUGUUGCAGUUAAAAAGCUCGUAGUUGAAUUUCGGGGUUAGUAGGUUGGUCAUGCCUCUGGUAUGUACUGGUGUUACUGAUUCUUACCUUCUGACGAACCAUCAUGUCAUUAAUUUGGUGUGGUGAGGAAUCAGGACUGUUACUUUGAAAAAAUUAGAGUGUUUAAAGCAGGCUCGCGCUUGAAUACAUUAGCAUGGAAUAAUGAAAUAGGACGUUGAUCCUAUUUUGUUGGUUUCUAGGAUUGACGUAAUGAUUAAUAGGGAUAGUUGGGGGCAUUAGUAUUCAAUUGUCAGAGGUGAAAUUCUUGGAUUUUAUUGAAGACUAACUACUGCGAAAGCAUUUGCCAAGGAUGUUUUCAUUAAUCAAGAACGAAAGUUAGGGGAUCGAAGACGAUCAGAUACCGUCGUAGUCUUAACCAUAAACUAUGCCGACUAGGGAUCGGAUGAUGUUAAUUUUUAAUGA